GGAUAAUUAUAGUAGCUUCUUCACAGAACUGCUGUUAAGACUAAACAUUUAAUAUAUGUGAAGCAUUUGGCAAAGUGCCUAGUCAUAGUAAGUAUUUGUCAAAUAAAAUCUAUUUAUUGUUGGUGUUAUUACUAUUAUGCAAAUGAGCAACAUAAAACAUGAAUAUGCAUGCAUAAAGUAUCAAGCAAAUAAAUAGGCAGAAAUAAUUCAUUCAGUCUUAGACAUUUGAGAGACAUCUCUAGGUGAUGGUACAUUUGGAUUAGGAAUUGAAAAAAAUUAAAAAAUAAAUAAAAAGGUGAAGGAAUUUUCCUAGUAGAAAAGGAUAUUCCAGGGUAUUGAGUAGUGAAAGCAAAAGCAUAAAGAAAGGAAGAGUGUGGCAGAUUCGGAAAUGGAGAGGCAUGUGACAAUACAUGUCACAUGUUGUAGAUCCACAGUACCUAGCACGGGGUCUGGCAUAUAAAGUUUGGUUAGAUGUAUGGGGGCUGGGAGUGUGGGCAGGAGAGAGAGGAAGGGAGGAGUACAGACAGAUGGAUGGAUGAAUGGGGAGAUGAAUGUAUUAAAGGAUGGCUUAUAUUGUGGCCCUUGCCUUCUUUCAGUGGUGGUUACUGUGGGCAGGUUUGAGGUGACCAAUUCAUAUCUCAAACGGAGUUAAACAUUCUGUCCCAAGGUUCCCUGCAGUCUGUUCGGAAAGGUUCAAUCUAAUCGAUGAGCAAACUCGAUCCUGCAACCCUCCAAAGGCGUCUGUGUGAAGGGCGCCCUUGGAUUUGUGGUAAUUCUGCAGAGUUCAAGAUUCCCACAAGGAAUGCGGCUGUCGGAAUGCAGAGGUUGCCAGAACUAACGGCAGAAGGGGAUCCUCACCCGCGAGGAGUCUCGCCUUCGUGCGAGUUCUACUUUGCACAAGUCAGUCAAGAAGGGCCUGGUGGCACAGGACGUAACAAUAGAUUCCCAUCUCUUCCGGUGGCGCUGCUACAGCCUUGCACUGCCAACUCCAUUAAAAGAUCAUCAAGAAAGCAGCUCUUGGUUUGCUACAUUUGGAAGUACUCUUCUCCGGAACCUGCUCAGAAGAAAUCUGCCUGGUUUUCUCAGAGGCAGAGUGGAACAAGAAGCUUCACGUUCAUGACUUCUCCUGGGGCCUCUCCCGUGUGUCUCGGUUUGAAUUAUAUUUGACUGCAUGCAAGAGGGAAACACAGCAGAGGAUUAACCCAAGUUUGAGCUUUAUUUCUCUCCCAAGUGAAGAAGUAUGGACGUUGGCAGUAUAAGGUUGUCAUGGUUACACCUUUCUUCGCAUCUUCAGAGACCCAGGGUCCUAUCUUUUGGCCCCAUCACAUCUUCAAGGUAACUUUGUGAUCCGUGGGUGUUACUGGCACUGUAGUUUCAGGAUGAGAGAAGCAGGAAAGGAAAGAGCAAAAUGGGGCAAUCCCAGCAGGGUGGCCUCUCAUUAGGCACGAAUCAGUCUGUAUCAUGUCUACUUACAUCUCUUUGGUCAGAAUGUAAUCACACAGCAACACUUCGGGUGUUGGUGCUGUGGCAUAGAGAGUAAAGUGGCAGCCUGCAGUGCUGGCAUCCCAUAUGGGUGCUGGUUAGAGUCCUGGCUGCUCCACUUCUGAUCCAGCUCUCUGCUAUGACCUGGGAAAGCAGUAGAAGAUGGCCCAAGUGCUUGGGCCCCUGCACCUGUGUGGGAGACCCCAAGGAAGCUCCUGGCUCCUGGCUUUGGAUCAGCGCAGCUUUGGCCAUUGCAGCCAACUGGGGAGUGAACCCGCGGAUGGAAGACUGCUCUCUCUCUCUCUCUGCCUCUCCUUCUCUCUCUGUGUAACUCUGACUUUCAAAUAAAUAAAUUAAUUAAAAAAAAUUAAAAGUGACU
Oryctolagus cuniculus (rabbit) is the source of this 1861-nucleotide long non-coding RNA. NCBI's taxonomy places the organism in Eukaryota, Metazoa, Chordata, Mammalia, Lagomorpha, Leporidae. The record is from Ensembl.